AUUGAACGCUGGCGGCAGGCCUAACACAUGCAAGUCGAGCGGAUGAUGGGAGCUUGCUCCUGGAUUCAGCGGCGGACGGGUGAGUAAUGCCUAGGAAUCUGCCUGGUAGUGGGGGAUAACGUCCGGAAACGGGCGCUAAUACCGCAUACGUCCUGAGGGAGAAAGUGGGUGAUCUUCGGACCUCACGCUAUCAUAUGAGCCUAGGUCGGAUUAGAUAGUUGGUGGGGUAAAGGCCUACCAAGGCGACGAUCCGUAACUGGUCUGAGAGGAUGAUCAGUCACACUGGAACUGAGACACGGUCCAGACUCCUACGGGAGGCAGCAGUGGGGAAUAUUGGACAAUGGGCGAAAGCCUGAUCCAGCCAUGCCGCGUGUGUGAAGAAGGUCUUCGGAUUGUAAAGCAAUUUAAGUUGGGAGGAAGGGCAGUAAGUUAAUACCUUGCUGUUUUGACGUUACCAACAGAAUAAGCACCGGCUAACUUCGUG
This 484-nucleotide ribosomal RNA is filed under the name uncultured bacterium. RNAcentral's name for it is "partial 16S ribosomal RNA". It matches the Rfam family "Bacterial small subunit ribosomal RNA", at positions 30 to 507 of the family's 1533-position model. The record is from RNAcentral.